AUGCAGUCGAGCGACGCAUACCGGAGGGGUAACCCACUGGUAUGACGGAGCGGCGAACGGGUGAGUAACACGUGAGUAACCUGCCCCACAGACCGGGACAGCCCAGGGAAACCUGGAUUAAUACCGGAUACCCUCGGGGGAUCGCAUGAUCUUUCGAGGAAAUGCCUUUGUGCUGUGGGAUGGACUCGCGACUUAUCAGCUAGUUGGUGGGGUAACGGCCUACCAAGGCGUCGACGAGUAGCUGGUCUGAGAGGACGAUCAGCCACACUGGGACUGAGACACGGCCCAGACUCCUACGGGAGGCAGCAGCAGGGAAUCUUGCGCAAUGGGCGAAAGCCUGACGCAGCAACGCCGCGUGGGGGAUGAAGGCCUUCGGGUUGUAAACCCCUUUCAGGAGGGAAGAAAUUGACGGUACCUCCAAAAGAAGCACCGGCCAACUACGUGCCAGCAGCCGCGGUAAUACGUAGGGUGCGAGCGUUAUCCGGAAUCAUUGGGCGUAAAGAGCUCGUAGGCGGUUCAGCAAGUCGGCUGUGAAAUUUCGAGGCUCAACCUCGAAACUGCAGUCGAAACUGCUGUGACUCGAGUCCGGUAGAGGAGAAUGGAAUUCCCGGUGUAGC
This 617-nucleotide ribosomal RNA is filed under the name uncultured bacterium. RNAcentral's name for it is "bacterial SSU rRNA". It matches the Rfam family "Bacterial small subunit ribosomal RNA", at positions 55 to 679 of the family's 1533-position model. The record is from RNAcentral.